UCGCCAUCACCCUCCUUCUCGCUGGAGUUCUCACAUAUGUUCUGUGCAAGCGCAAAAAGGAGAAGCUCCUGCAAGGUGUGCAUUAUGUGUCUGUGUAAUCAAUUUCAAUGUCUGAGCAGCAAAUGGAAGGAUAUGAGCUCCCUGCUGAUCUACCUGAGAAGAUACCAGAAGCUGCUCCAAGUCACCGGGACCAGUCCAGCCAUGUCAGAGACCGAGAAAUCCAGGCUUCAGACUGGCCAAUUUCUAGCUUUGCAGCCUGAACUAGAAGGC
Long non-coding RNA from Ochotona curzoniae (black-lipped pika), 270 nucleotides. RefSeq lists it as uncharacterized. The transcript is spliced from 3 exons. The record is from RefSeq and is a predicted model, not a curated record. Lineage: Eukaryota; Metazoa; Chordata; Mammalia; Lagomorpha; Ochotonidae.